Molecule: ribosomal RNA, 495 nt
Filed under: uncultured bacterium
Lineage: Bacteria
Description: partial 16S ribosomal RNA
Rfam family: Bacterial small subunit ribosomal RNA
Source: RNAcentral
AUGAACGCUGGCGGCGUGCCUAAUACAUGCAAGUCGAGCGAACGGACGAGAAGCUUGCUUCUCUGAUGUUAGCGGCGGACGGGUGAGUAACACGUGGAUAACCUACCUAUAAGACUGGGAUAACUUCGGGAAACCGGAGCUAAUACCGGAUAAUAUUUUGAACCGCCUGGUUCAAAAGUGAAAGACGGUCUUGCUGUCACUUAUAGAUGGAUCCGCGCUGCAUUAGCUAGUUGGUAAGGUAACGGCUUACCAAGGCAACGAUGCAUAGCCGACCUGAGAGGGUGAUCGGCCAAACUGGAACUGAGACACGGUCCAGACUCCUACGGGAGGCAGCAGUAGGGAAUCUUCCGCAAUGGGCGAAAGCCUGACGGAGCAACGCCGCGUGAGUGAUGAAGGUCUUCGGAUCGUAAAACUCUGUUAUUAGGGAAGAACAUAUGUGUAAGUAACUGUGCACAUCUUGACGGUACCUAAUCAGAAAGCCACGGCUAACUACGU